This 512-nucleotide ribosomal RNA is filed under the name uncultured bacterium. RNAcentral's name for it is "partial 16S ribosomal RNA". It matches the Rfam family "Bacterial small subunit ribosomal RNA", at positions 28 to 507 of the family's 1533-position model. The record is from RNAcentral.
GACGAACGCUGGCGGCGUGCUUAACACAUGCAAGUCGAACGAAAAGAGGGAAAGAGCUUGCUCUUUCCGGAAUUGAGUGGCAAACGGGUGAGUAACACGUAAACAACCUGCCUUCAGGAUGGGGACAACAGACGGAAACGACUGCUAAUACCGAAUAAGUUCCAAGAGCCGCAUGGCCCAUGGAAGAAAAGGUGGCCUCUACCUGUAAGCUAUCGCCUGAAGAGGGGUUUGCGUCUGAUUAGCUGGUUGGAGGGGAACGGCCCACCAAGGCGACGGUCAGUAGCCGGUCUGAGAGGAUGAACGGCCACACUGGAACUGAGACACGGUCCAGACUCCUACGGGAGGCAGCAGUGGGGAAUCUUCCGCAAUGGGCGAAAGCCUGACGGAGCAACGCCGCGUGAGUGAUGACGGCCUUCGGGUUGUAAAACUCUGUGAUCCGGGACGAAAAGGCAGAGUGCGAAGAACAAACUGCAUUGACGGUACCGGAAAAGCAAGCCACGGCUAACUACGUG